RNAcentral lists this ribosomal RNA (480 nucleotides) under uncultured organism. RNAcentral's name for it is "partial 16S ribosomal RNA". It matches the Rfam family "Bacterial small subunit ribosomal RNA", at positions 330 to 801 of the family's 1533-position model. The record is from RNAcentral.
CGUACACUCCUACGGGAGGCAGCAGUGGGGAAUAUUGCACAAUGGGCGCAAGCCUGAUGCAGCCAUGCCGCGUGUAUGAAGAAGGCCUUCGGGUUGUAAAGUACUUUCAGCGGGGAGGAAGGCGAUAAGGUUAAUAACCUUGUCGAUUGACGUUACCCGCAGAAGAAGCACCGGCUAACUCCGUGCCAGCAGCCGCGGUAAUACGGAGGGUGCAAGCGUUAAUCGGAAUUACUGGGCGUAAAGCGCACGCAGGCGGUCUGUCAAGUCGGAUGUGAAAUCCCCGGGCUCAACCUGGGAACUGCAUUCGAAACUGGCAGGCUAGAGUCUUGUAGAGGGGGGUAGAAUUCCAGGUGUAGCGGUGAAAUGCGUAGAGAUCUGGAGGAAUACCGGUGGCGAAGGCGGCCCCCUGGACAAAGACUGACGCUCAGGUGCGAAAGCGUGGGGAGCAAACAGGAUUAGAAACCCGUGUAGUCCCAUGAU